This is a non-coding RNA of Podarcis lilfordi (Lilford's wall lizard), 92 nucleotides long. The record is from the annotation of a GenBank genome assembly. NCBI's taxonomy places the organism in Eukaryota, Metazoa, Chordata, Lepidosauria, Squamata, Lacertidae.
CUUCCAGUAGCACCUUAGAGACCAACUAAGUUUGUUAUUGGUAUGAGCUUUAACAAACUUACGGUAACUGGUCUCUAAGGUGCUACUGGAAA